This 253-nucleotide ribosomal RNA is filed under the name uncultured bacterium. RNAcentral describes it as "partial 16S ribosomal RNA". It matches the Rfam family "Bacterial small subunit ribosomal RNA", at positions 524 to 776 of the family's 1533-position model. The record is from RNAcentral.
UACGUAGGUGGCAAGCGUUGUCCGGAAUUAUUGGGCGUAAAGCGCGCGCAGGCGGUCCUUUAAGUCUGAUGUGAAAGCCCACGGCUCAACCGUGGAGGGUCAUUGGAAACUGGGGGACUUGAGUGCAGAAGAGGAGAGUGGAAUUCCACGUGUAGCGGUGAAAUGCGUAGAGAUGUGGAGGAACACCAGUGGCGAAGGCGACUCUCUGGUCUGUAACUGACGCUGAGGCUCGAAAGCGUGGGGAGCAAACAGG